RNAcentral lists this ribosomal RNA (301 nucleotides) under uncultured bacterium. Its description in RNAcentral is "partial 16S ribosomal RNA". It matches the Rfam family "Bacterial small subunit ribosomal RNA", at positions 509 to 809 of the family's 1533-position model. The record is from RNAcentral.
CAGUCGCCACGGGAAUACGUAGGGUGCAAGCGUUAAUCGGAAUUACUGGGCGUAAAGCGUGCGCAGGCGGUUAUAUAAGACAGAUGUGAAAUCCCCGGGCUCAACCUGGGAACUGCAUUUGUGACUGUAUAGCUAGAGUACGGCAGAGGGGGAUGGAAUUCCGCGUGUAGCAGUGAAAUGCGUAGAUAUGCGGAGGAACACCGAUGGCGAAGGCAAUCCCCUGGGCCUGUACUGACGCUCAUGCACGAAAGCGUGGGGAGCAAACAGGAUUAGAGACCCCUGUAGUCCCUGUCUCUUAUAA